UGGGCUUGAACCGCUACUGACCAACGGUAGAAAUAUCGUCUUCCCGCAAGGGACAGUAGUAGAGGUGCUGCAUGGCUGUCGUCAGCUCGUGCCGUGAGGUGUUGGGUUAAGUCCCGCAACGAGCGCAACCCUUACUCGUAGUUGCUACCCGCAAGGGAGAACUCUACGAGGACUGCUCCGGAUAACGGAGAGGAAGGUGGGGAUGACGUCAAGUCAGCACGGCCUUUAUGUCCAGGGCUACACACGUGUUACAAUGCAUGGUACAGACUGUUGCGAACCCGCGAGGGGGAGCUAAUCGGAGAAAGCCAUGCUCAGUUCGGAUUGCAGUCUGCAACUCGGCUGCAUGAAGCUGGAAUCGCUAGUAAUGGCGUAUCAGAUCGACGCCGUGAAUACGUUCCCGGGCC
RNAcentral lists this ribosomal RNA (404 nucleotides) under uncultured bacterium. Its description in RNAcentral is "bacterial SSU rRNA". It matches the Rfam family "Bacterial small subunit ribosomal RNA", at positions 976 to 1380 of the family's 1533-position model. The record is from RNAcentral.